UACGUAGGCAGCGAGCGUUGUUCGGAGUUACUGGGCGUAAAGGGUGUGUAGGCGGUUGUUUAAGUUUGGGGUGAAAUCUCCCGGCUCAACUGGGAGGGUGCGCCGAAUACUGAGCGACUAGAGUGCGGGAGAGGAAAGUGGAAUUCCUGGUGUAGCGGUGAAAUGCGUAGAUAUCAGGAGGAACACCGGUGGUGUAGACGGCUUUCUGGACCGUAACUGACGCUGAGACACGAAAGCGUGGGUAGCAAACAGG
This 253-nucleotide ribosomal RNA is filed under the name uncultured bacterium. Its description in RNAcentral is "partial 16S ribosomal RNA". It matches the Rfam family "Bacterial small subunit ribosomal RNA", at positions 524 to 776 of the family's 1533-position model. The record is from RNAcentral.